This 1496-nucleotide long non-coding RNA is filed under the name Numida meleagris (helmeted guineafowl). RNAcentral describes it as "lncRNA (ENSNMEG00000010094.1)". The record is from RNAcentral. Lineage: Eukaryota; Metazoa; Chordata; Aves; Galliformes; Numididae.
GGGGUGCAGACGUCUUUGGAACAAAAAGAUGCCCAUGUAACAGAAACCCCUCCAGUCACUCCGAACGGUAUCGGACCAAAUGAAGGUUUCACAUGACAAACCCCGCGUGAAGUUUACAGCGCUCGCUCCCUUCCUGCUGCUCCCCCCCCCACACACACACACACCUCCUCCCCACCUCCGAACGUCAGACAAAACCCAGCCAGAGCCCGGCGCCGGGGCGUUCUGCAGCCGGUGCCACAGCUCAGCGGAGCAGCGCUGCCCACAGCAUCACGAGCCGCCGCUAUCUAUCCCGGCCGCGGCGGAGUGCGGAGGGACGCGAGCGGAGAGCGGGGCCGAACGGAGCGCCGAGCCGGGACGAGAGAAGCUCCUGGUGUCUAAAGACAUUAACUGGUCCACCCACAUCUGCCUGCGGCGGAGGAACGCUCUUCUCCAUUGCUGGGAGAAGAAGACAGAUGGAGCUACGCUCUCCCUGGCUGGGACCAUGGAGAUAGGGUAGUGGUGUUUCGGGUGCUCAGCCUGAGAGGUGCCAGCUCUCAGAACACCAUCACCCCAGGAGGUUUCCGCAGUCAGGCCCAGGGCUGAGCCAUUCAGGGCCCUGGGGAAGCAGGCCGAGGAGUGUGGACCCAUUGCCGAGCUGUUCCUCGCACCUGGUUCCAUACUGACUGCUCGAUCAUAAUUAUUGCCUACAUUUUUCCCCGCCGCCAGCUCUUCUUGAAGGUAAUCGUUAAAUUAGAAAAAAAGGAAAUUUUUUCAAGUGGCGUUCCUGUGAGAAAAGUGAAGAAGAAAAAAGGCUAACUCAUUUGUGCCCAACUCAAGCUUCUGAUAUUAGUCAGGCUGCUUGGUAAUUCAAAAGUGCUGGUGUGUAAAAGGAACUUCAUUUAACGCUGCAGUAAAAGCAGAGCAGAUUUUUCUUUCCCUUUCCGUUUCAGAAGGUACCGACUUCUCCUCCUCAGAGGACUAAGAGUUUUCAAGUGAUUCUUUCUUUGAAAGAGGCUGCCACUUCUGCCUUCCCUGUGAACCUACUGGGUUAAGCUUCUCCUCCGCAUCCACGAGGGAGGGACACAUCUCCUCACACAGGCAAGUCACAUCCAGCGGACGUCACUGGACAGAAAUCAGCGAAUUUCGGGGCGUGCAUUGCUUCCUGCUCAUCCCGCCUCCACCUCCGGGCCUUGUUAGAAGAUCCCCAUCCUGAACUGGGAUUUACGCCAGCCUCGGGGCACUCCUUUCUGUUGCUUCUAAACUCAGAAGGCAGAGAGGGAAGUAAGUUGCGGUGCUGAGAGAUGCAACCGUGCCUACACACUAAGAUUCUUUCCCCUAAAAUCCCCCACAGUUGCUACUGCCAGUUCAGUCCCCAGGCGCAGCCGUGCUGUGGAAGGCGGAAUGUGCUGAGAUGCAGCCAGGGGUGACUCAGGCACCAUGUUCCCAGCUUUCUUGGGGCGUCCCCUGCCCCCUCGUGCCUUGCGCUCAUCCAGGAUCUUGCUUCUAAGGCAGCAGUU